AGGCAUGUGCACGCCCUGCUCAUCCACUCUACACCUGUGCACUUACUGUAGGUUUGGCGUGGGCUUUCGGGGCCUUCACGGGCUUUGAGAGCAUUCUGCCUGCCUAUGUAUCACUAUAAACACUACGAAGUAACAGAAUGUAAUCGCGUCUAACGCAUCUUAAUACAACUUUCAGCAACGGAUCUCUUGGCUCUCGCAUCGAUGAAGAACGCAGCGAAAUGCGAUAAGUAAUGUGAAUUGCAGAAUUCAGUGAAUCAUCGAAUCUUUGAACGCACCUUGCGCUCCUUGGUAUUCCGAGGAGCAUGCCUGUUUGAGUGUCAUGGUAUUCUCAACCCACACAUCCUUGUGAUGCUUGUGAGGCUUGGACUUGGAGGCUUGCUGGCCCAUCGCGGUCGGCUCCUCUUGAAUGCAUUAGCUUGGUUCCUUGCGGAUCGGCUCUCAGUGUGAUAAUUGUCUACGCUGUGACCGUGAAGCGUUUGGCGAGCUUCUAACCGUCCUGCUAGGGACAACUUACUUGACAUCUGACCUCAAAUCAGGUAG
Molecule: ribosomal RNA, 540 nt
Filed under: Cubamyces lactineus
Lineage: Eukaryota; Fungi; Basidiomycota; Agaricomycetes; Polyporales; Polyporaceae
Description: eukaryotic LSU rRNA
Rfam family: 5.8S ribosomal RNA (bases 167-320)
Source: RNAcentral